This 247-nucleotide long non-coding RNA is filed under the name Elaeis guineensis (African oil palm). RNAcentral describes it as "long non-coding RNA (EGUI_LNC015206)". Lineage: Eukaryota; Viridiplantae; Streptophyta; Magnoliopsida; Arecales; Arecaceae. The record is from RNAcentral.
CAAAGUAUGGGAAUCUCUUACUUUGUUUUCUUUUUUCUACUUUCUUUGUGCUCCCUCCAUCUGCAAAAGAAUAUGUUUUUAUUUACUAUCUUACAGAACCAAGUGCCAACUUGGUAUUUUCUUAUCUCCCUUGUCUAAAUAAUCUCAAAUGCACAAACCCAGCAGCAGAUCUAUGAAACAUGCGCAACUAAUACACGUUUUAGACGUGAGAUAAUGCCAGCCCAGGGGGCGGCUUCUUGGUUCGUGG